RNAcentral lists this ribosomal RNA (580 nucleotides) under Bacillus velezensis. Its description in RNAcentral is "partial 23S ribosomal RNA". It matches the Rfam family "Bacterial large subunit ribosomal RNA", at positions 2349 to 2925 of the family's 2925-position model. Lineage: Bacteria; Bacillati; Bacillota; Bacilli; Caryophanales; Bacillaceae. The record is from RNAcentral.
GUGUAAAGGCACAAGGGAGCUUGACUGCGAGACCUACAAGUCGAGCAGGGACGAAAGUCGGGCUUAGUGAUCCGGUGGUUCCGCAUGGAAGGGCCAUCGCUCAACGGAUAAAAGCUACCCCGGGGAUAACAGGCUUAUCUCCCCCAAGAGUCCACAUCGACGGGGAGGUUUGGCACCUCGAUGUCGGCUCAUCGCAUCCUGGGGCUGUAGUCGGUCCCAAGGGUUGGGCUGUUCGCCCAUUAAAGCGGUACGCGAGCUGGGUUCAGAACGUCGUGAGACAGUUCGGUCCCUAUCCGUCGCGGGCGCAGGAAAUUUGAGAGGAGCUGUCCUUAGUACGAGAGGACCGGGAUGGACGCACCGCUGGUGUACCAGUUGUUCUGCCAAGGGCAUCGCUGGGUAGCUAUGUGCGGACGGGAUAAGUGCUGAAAGCAUCUAAGCAUGAAGCCCCCCUCAAGAUGAGAUUUCCCAUUCCGCAAGGAAGUAAGAUCCCUGAAAGAUGAUCAGGUUGAUAGGUCUGAGGUGGAAGUGUGGCGACACAUGGAGCUGACAGAUACUAAUCGAUCGAGGACUUAACCAAUUU